GUCUCCUGUGGUGCAAUGGGUCCAUGUGUUUGGCUGUUAACCAGAAGGCUGGUGGUUCAAGCCCAUGCAGGGACA
This is a non-coding RNA of Podarcis lilfordi (Lilford's wall lizard), 75 nucleotides long. The record is from the annotation of a GenBank genome assembly. Lineage: Eukaryota; Metazoa; Chordata; Lepidosauria; Squamata; Lacertidae.